Molecule: long non-coding RNA, 6361 nt
Filed under: Nicotiana tabacum (common tobacco)
Lineage: Eukaryota; Viridiplantae; Streptophyta; Magnoliopsida; Solanales; Solanaceae
Description: long non-coding RNA (NTAB_LNC014590)
Source: RNAcentral
UGGUAAUACUGAGUCAGGAACUCUAACAUAAUACAUGUAAUGAUCACAAGGAUCGAAUAUACAAUACUGUUCUAAUAAGAGUUGACAGUACAAUAACAUGGAAUGACUCCAAGGGACUGCGAUGACCAAGCAGCUCUACCUGGAAUCCUUGCGAUCAACACACUAACUCUGUCCGAGACCGAUAUCUCCAAUACCUGGCUCCACACAAAAAUGUGUAGAAGUGUAGUAUGAGUACACCACAGUCGAUACCCAGUAAGUAUCAAGACUAACCUCGAUAGAGUAGUGACGAGGUACAGUCAAGACACUCACUAGUCUAAUAACCUGUGCAAUAUCGUAUACAAAAAUAAUAAAAAACAAAUAGCAGUGAUAGCAACAAUAAUCAACUAGUGAUGUAAACAACAAGGCAACAAGAACACCAUAAAUAUUGAUCAAACAAAUAAUGAACACAAGUACAACCAAUUAAUCAACUCCUUCAAAUAUAAAUCUCUCACCUAUAAGUUUUCAAAUAUAAACCUUUCGAAUAUAAUUUUUCAAAUAAAUAUAUUUCGAAUAUACUCCCUUCAAAUAAAUAUUUUUCGAAUAUAAUUCUUUCAAAUAAAUAUCUUUCGAAUAUAAUUCUUUCAAAUAAAUAUCUUUCGAAUAUAAUUCUUUUCAAAUAAAAGUCACCCCGUGACACCCCAUUUCAUAAUCAUAAAAUACGAGUCUUAGCCCACUUACAUAUUUUCACGGCACCUCGUGCCCAUGUUUCUAUCACAACCACACGUACAACUCACGUACCAAAAUAUCAAAGUAUAUAUGAUCCGCAGGAUUAAUUUAUUUUCAAUAAAGUAAGUUUAUAAUUUUUAAAUCAAGUAAGAAAUCAACAAAGAAAUGAAUUUAUUUUUUUAGAAAUCGUUUGGGUGAAGAUAAUAACCUUUCAAUUAAAACGAAGCACCAGAUAGCUACUGUAUUGGAUGUAAAACUUAUUAAAUCAAAACAUGGCAGCAUUUCUUUUAUUCAAAACAACUCAACCUCGAAAACCAGUAAAAACCAGAAACACAAAUCCUUAGAGUCUCGUACGAAGAACCAAAGCCAACACAUUAUAACAAGAAAUACAAAACACAUAAUAAAAUAAUACUUCACGGAAGAACACAAGGAAUUACCUACCACGGAAAAAUAAAAUAACCAAAGGCAAGUGCAGCCAUAGAGAAAUAUCAACAAAGGGCACUCCCGAGGUACCGCCUCGUAGUCCCAAAUCAUAAAUAUAUUUUUACAAAGGUCACUCCCAAAGUACUGGCUCGUAGUCCCAAAUUAUAAAUAAAUUUACAAUCUUUCCUUAUAUCACCGCGGGAGCCUUCACAUUUAGUUUUAAAAAUUAUUUUUUCCGAAAUAGCAUCCCGUGUUUUAGUCACCCUUAUCACACUGCAUGACUUCUAGUAAUUCCCCUACUAGCCACGCGUAUCAAGCCCACCUUAUCUUACCGAAUGCGUUUCAACACCCUGGACUUAUAUCACCGCAUGCGUAUCAAUAUCACAAUAUUUUAUAAAUUACACCUCAAGUGCUAAAAUAUCACAGCAUAACAUAGCUUACACCUCAAGUGCUCAAAUAUCAAAACAUAUUACAAAUUGCACUUCAAGUGCUCAAAUAUCACAACAUAUCACAAAUCGCACAUCAAGUUCUCAAUUAUCACAACAUAUCAUAAAUUGCACAUCAAGUGCUCAAAUAUCACAACAUAUUACAAAUUGCACCUCAAGUGCUCAAAUAUCACAACAUAUUAAAAUUUUAUCUCAAGUGCUCAAAUAUCACAACUUGCCACAGAAAUCGACAAUAAUAUUAUUUUCCAUAAUAAGGAGCCCACGGCUCGAUCAUAAUGUGUACAACAUCUUAACAAAAUAUUCGGGAGUGAACAACUCAACCAAAUAAUACUUUACAAUUUAGCACGUUGCCUUAGUAUGAUUCACGGCCUUUAUAAUUCAAUACCAAAUUUUCAACAACAUGAACUGAAAAGUAAUUCAUCAAGGAACAAUACCUCUUUUAAAUCACAACUUCAGGAAAUAAAUAGAUUUAUUCAUCUUGUAAACUAAAUUUCCCAUUUAAAUUAUUUAUAGAUAAAAUCAAUAAUGAAAGUAUUUUCCAUAAAAAUGGCAACUCAAACAAACACAGAGUUCACAUAAAAGUCAAGUGGCAAUCACACCAAAUUAUCAAUAUAAAAAGAACCNNNNNNNNNNNNNNNNNNNNNNNNNUCCAAGAUUCUUACCUUUUGAAGUUAGGCCUAUAUUCCAAAAUGGCCUUCUCACGUGAACUGACCUCCGGACGGCUCCAAUCUUUCUUGAGCUUUCUUUACAUUACUAAGAUGUUCCGAAAAUCCUAGCAACUUCAAUCUAUUUAGAAACAUAAUAAAAGUGAACCAUUUUUAGGAAGAUACUCGUGGGUUCACCUCAUUUAAGCAUUUCAUCAAACACUAGGUGUGCAAAUUUGAUUACAAGGUUCUUCCAUAAGAUUUCCUUCACUCCACAACCCACUCUUUGCCCAUUUGAGCUCAACAAUCUUCUCAAAAACCUUAUUGGUACAUGCAUGUAUAAAUAAUACUCUCAUACCCAAGUAUCAUACUCCCAAUCACCCAUCUUCUACCCAAACUCGAAAUUGAUGACUAGGGUUAGAAUCUUAUCUCUUGGGUGAAAAUCUUGUGAGCUUUCUUAUUGAAUUUCAAGGCUUGAGCAAGAUUUUGAUGAACAAUUAGCUUAAGAAUUUCUCCUCUCACUUUAGUUCAUUUUCUCUCUCUAAAAAUAUCAGAUAUUCCCUUCAAACAUGGUCUAUUGCGUCUAUUUAACGAGAUAGGGCCGGGUUACAAAGAUAGAAGAAUGGACCCUCCAAAUUCCAGACCAGGCUAGGCACGCUCUGUAGCGAGCUACAGACCAGGCUUCGCGAGCUCUGUAGCGAGCUAAAUACCAGGCUUCGCGAGCUCUAUAGCGAGCUACAGACUUGGCUUCGUGAGGGAUAUAACAUGGUCUAGCGCGCUACAGACCUGGCUUCGUGAGGUCGAAAUGAUUCAACUCCCCAACACACUGUUCAACCCAAAAAGUCCGAAAAUACAAUACAUUAGCCUACCUUGGCACCACGAAACCUUAAAUUUCUUGGCGAAAGUUUACGGGGCAUUACAGUAUGUAGCUUAGAGCUUCAUUCUAUGUUCAGUCGUGUAAAUUCAAAAGAUAUAUAUUGCCCCGAUCGUUUUCCAAAUAAAGUAUGAUGAAAGUAAUUCAUUCAACCUACACUUGAAAAUCGGGCUUAAAUAUCAUUCUUCUGUUGAACUUUGGAUCUCAUAUGACUUAUAGGGGGAAAUCCUCCAUGGUAAACAUGUGUCUUCAAUGGGACUAUUAUAGUCUUUUAGGAGGCUACCAAGUAUUUUCACUGAAAUUCAGGGGUUCACAAUGUCUUCAUGUUCUCCAAAUCUUUAAAUCCGUCGAUCUUCAAGUUCGCUGCUCUUCAAGUUGAAAUAUUUGAGCCCUAAAAGUCUUCAAGUUGAAGUCUUCAAGUCUGUCAGUCUUCAAGUUGAAGUCCUCAAAUUCACCGGUCUUCAAGUUGAAAUAUUUAAGCCCUCCAAGUCUUCAAGUUGAAGUCCUCAAGUCCGUCGGUCCUCAAGUUGAAGUCCUCAAGUCCGUCGGUCUUCAAGUUGAAGUCCUCAAAUUUGCCGAUCUUUAAGUUUAGUUGUUUAAGCCCUCCAAGUCUUCAAGUUGAAGUAUUCAAGCCUGUUAAUUUUUCAAGUUGAAAUUUAAAAGUCCACUACUCUUUAGGUUGAAGCGUCAAAGUCCGCUGAAUCUUCAAAUCCAUCAAAUUUUCAAGUUUGUCGGUCUUCAAGUUGAAGUCUGCAAAAUUCGCCAAAUCUUUAAAGUUCGCAAAAUAUUCAAGUCGAUGUCGUCAAGUCCACCAAGUCUUCGAGGUGAAGGUUUCUAGUCUUCCAAUUGAUGAUAGGCUAUAAUCCCGUAUUUUAGUCGCUCAUUGCACUCUAAUUUACUGCACUUUACUUGUGUUGAGCCUUAAUUGGUAGUAUUUUUGCACUUAUUGUGUGUUUCAUGCCUUGUAGGAGUGAUUCCGAGUUAUGUAGAUGUUAUAGAGCUAAUUCAAGCUAUUUGGAGCUUUGAAGUCUCAGUAGAAGCCCAAGCAAUUAAGUCGGGAUCACGUUCGGGGGUCGAAGACCAAGUCUGGACAUAAAAAAAAAUGAGAAAACGAGUUCACUCUGAGAAAAUUGUAAUACCGUCUCGUGGGCCUCAUAGCGCUAGUGCAAUUUUCCUGCAAAGUGAAAAAACUCAAUUUCUGGCCAAAUUUACACUGUUGCGCCGCAUGGGACGGCGCGAGGCGCAACACGGCAGUGCAAAAAGUGGCUAGAAAUGAUUUUUUGGCACGUUCUGGAAUUCCCAACAUGCGCGCCGGAUGGGGCGGCGCGGGACGCGUCGCGGUAGCACAAAAAUAUUAGAGUGACUUCCCAUUUUCGCUAAAAAGGGUAGUUUCGUCCGGGGUUUAUUUUGGGGGCUGUUUAAAAACACCAAAACACCAUUUUAGAUAGACUUUUGAUACAAUUUCGACCAAAGGAGGCGAAGGAGGCUAAGGAGGAGUUGGAAGAACACAAGCACAAGGAUUUCAUCAUUCCUUCCUCACUCAAGAUCCAGGUUUGGAUUAAAUUUAUGUUUUCCUACACUUUAGUUACAUUUGUGAAGAACUUCUCCAUGUCUAUGGAGUAGAUCCUUUUGGGUUUUGAUGGAUUUGGUGUGUUGAUGAUUGUUUGUGGAUUAUAACUCUAUUUUUAUGUAUUUGAAUCGUUUUUGAAAGAUUUAAUUAUUGCAUCUAUAUUCACUUGUUCUUGUAAUCGAAAGAGGCACAACUUAUGAUAUCUUUGCAUUAUAUUGUUGGUUGAGUUCAUAGAUUCUUCUAAGUAAUCGAAAGAGGCUAGAUGAAUCAUUGAUUAAAUCUAGUUAGGAGAAUAAUCGAAAGAGGUUUUCCUAAAGACCGAUCCACUAUACAUUCCUGCAUAUCUUCAUAGUGCUUAAAUUGGUUCAUCUCGUGAGGUUAAGACUUAAUCGAGAGAGGAGUUUUUGCUGAAUGUUUGAACUAAUAAUAGAGUGAAUUCGAGAGAUUCACUUGAACAUUGGAAGUAAAUUAUCUAGAGUUAGAUCCCGAACAAUUAUCUUGCACUUAUUCUGUCAAAACCCUAUCCUUUUCUACUUAUAACCUUAAUUGCUUAUUCCUUGUUUCGAUAGUCACUAGUCAAUAACUGUAGAUUUUAGAUUCUUAGUUAAAUUUUAUUAUUAAUCAUAUAAAUCCCAACCGUUGAUCCUCCUGGAUAGCAAUCAAGCUAGAAACUACGAGAAUACUAUUUAAAUCCAAUCCCUAUGGACACGAUAUUAUACUAUACUAUCUUUGACUAACGAGUACAAUUUAAGUGUGUGUUUUGCGUUUGUCACCAAUCUUAAGGUGGACAUUUAAAUCCCUUUGCACCUUAAGUUGGUCUUUUAGCGGAUUUAUCCUUAAAAGGCACUAUAAUUUUUCAAUCUUAAGGUGGACAUUAAGUCCCUUUGCACCUUAAGUUGGUUUAUUCAUGGAUUUUUCCUUAAAAGGAACCGUAAUUUUCCAAGCUUAAGGUGGACAUGUUAGUCCCUUGCACCUUAAGUUGGCCUCUUCGCGGGUUUGUCCUUAAAAGGAACAAUAAUUUUCCAAUCUUAAGGUGGAUAUUUAAGUUCCUUUGCACCUUAAGUUGGCCUUUUCGUGGGUUGUCCAUAAAAGAAUCUAUAAUUUUCUAGUCUUAAGGUGGACAUUAAGUCCCUUUGCACCUUAAGCUAGUUAUAGAUUUGUUCCUUCUAUAUGUUGUUACUAAUUUGAUCCUUCUAUAUGCGGCUAUAGAUUUAUUCUUCAAUAUGUUGUUACGGAUUUGAUCCUUCUAUAUGCUGUUAUGAAUUUGUUCUUCUAUGUUGUCGAGGAUUUGUCCUUCUAUAUGUUGCGAGGGAUUUGUCCUUCUACAUGUUGUUGUGGAUUUGAUCAUCUAUAUACCGUCAUGGACUUGGCACUGGGCGACUCUUACUUACUUGACCUACAAAAAAAAAAGGGACAGAAAAAGGCAACAGAAAAUACAGAAGAAGAAGUUACCUCCGCUAAUGCUGUCUAUUCGUCAAAGCACGGAGCUGAGAUGGCUUGCAUAUGUUGCUAUGCGAUGAUCGAUGAACCUACGAGCAUGAGUUUAUAUAGCUAUCAAAAUAUGGUAUUAAAUAUUUUUUUGGCGAUGGGGGAUCAGUUGUUUAGGCGGCUCCAAAGUUUUAGUUUCCAACAUGAACUAGGAUACGGUAGCUUGAUCCAAGUAGAAAUCUAAUUAAGCAGGUGAAGGAAGCUUGAUUUU